UACGUAGGGGGCAAGCGUUAUCCGGAUUUACUGGGUGUAAAGGGAGCGUAGACGGCGAUGCAAGCCAGAUGUGAAAGCCCGGGGCUCAACCCCGGGACUGCAUUUGGAACUGUAUAGCUAGAGUGUAGGAGGGGCAGGCGGAAUUCCUAGUGUAGCGGUGAAAUGCGUAGAUAUUAGGAGGAACACCAGUGGCGAAGGCGGCCUGCUGGACUGCAACUGACGUUGAGGCUCGAAGGCGUGGGGAGCAAACAGG
This 253-nucleotide ribosomal RNA is filed under the name uncultured bacterium. Its description in RNAcentral is "partial 16S ribosomal RNA". It matches the Rfam family "Bacterial small subunit ribosomal RNA", at positions 524 to 776 of the family's 1533-position model. The record is from RNAcentral.